RNAcentral lists this long non-coding RNA (204 nucleotides) under Drosophila guanche. Lineage: Eukaryota; Metazoa; Arthropoda; Insecta; Diptera; Drosophilidae. The record is from RNAcentral.
CCUGGGAAAACGUGAAAAUGCAGCAUUCAUCGAAGACGAUGUGUGUGUGGAUCGGUGGGAUCUGGAAGGGGGGCUCCACCCCCUCGCGCGCACAACUGAAGCGCGCCGUGUGCCACACUUUGCUUUUGCCACACGAAAAACGAAAAUGCGUUUCCAGUUUAUUUUCAAUUCAAAAAUUCAAUUUCAAUAAUUUUUUUAAUGGCC